UGGCGAACGGGUGAGUAAUAUAUCGGAACGUACCCAAGAGUGGGGGAUAACGUAGCGAAAGUUACGCUAAUACCGCAUACGAUCUAAGGAUGAAAGUGGGGGAUCGCAAGACCUCAUGCUCCUGGGGCGGCCGAUAUCUGAUUAGCUAGUUGGUGAGGUAAAGGCUCACCAAGGCGACGAUCAGUAGCUGGUCUGAGAGGACGACCAGCCACACUGGAACUGAGGCACGGUCCAGACUCCUACGGGAGGCAGCAGUGGGGAAUUUUGGACAAUGGGCGCAAGCCUGAUCCAGCAAUGCCGCGUGAGUGAAGAAGGCCUUCGGGUUGUAAAGCUCUUUUGUCAGGGAAGAAACGGCCUGGGUUAAUACCUUGGGCUAAUGACGGUACCUGAAGAAUAAGCACCGGCUAACUACGUGCCAGCAGCCGCGGUAAUACGUAGGGUGCAAGCGUUAAUCGGAAUUACUGGGCGUAAAGCGUGCGCAGGCGGUUUUGUAAGUCUGUCGUGAAAGCCCCGGGCUCAACCUGGGAAUUGCGAUGGAGACUGCAAGGCUUGAAUCUGGCAGAGGGGGGUAGAAUUCCACGUGUAGCAGUGAAAUGCGUAGAGAUGUGGAGGAACACCGAUGGCGAAGGCAGCCCCCUGGGUCAAGAUUGACGCUCAUGCACGAAAGCGUGGGGAGCAAACAGGAUUAGAUACCCUGGUAGUCCACGCCCUAAACGAUGUCUACUAGUUGUCGGGUUUUAAUUAACUUGGUAACGCAGCUAACGCGUGAAGUAGACCGCCUGGGGAGUACGGUCGCAAGAUUAAAACUCAAAGGAAUUGAC
RNAcentral lists this ribosomal RNA (821 nucleotides) under uncultured bacterium. Its description in RNAcentral is "bacterial SSU rRNA". It matches the Rfam family "Bacterial small subunit ribosomal RNA", at positions 96 to 914 of the family's 1533-position model. The record is from RNAcentral.